Long non-coding RNA from Cydia strobilella, 1613 nucleotides. RefSeq lists it as uncharacterized. The transcript has 4 exons. Lineage: Eukaryota; Metazoa; Arthropoda; Insecta; Lepidoptera; Tortricidae. The record is from RefSeq and is a predicted model, not a curated record.
UUGCGGAUGUUGAUGCGCACUUUCGAAAUAUUUUGCUUAUUAUUAAAGUUUCUGUAAUUUCUUACUGUUUGAAAUUUGAGUUGUUAAGUUUUUCUGUUAGUUGUUUUAUUAUUAGUUGUUUAAAAGUUUAUUAAUCGCUGCGUUUUUCUGAGUUGGUUAACAUGAGUUAACUUCGGAGAAAGCGUUGUUUUUGGCUGUGAUGCUUUUGUUGCACAUGGUGUCCCAAUCCAUAAAUUUCCAAACCCGGAGAAACAGCAUUUGUUUGAUGCUUGGUUAUCUGCUGUUGGAAGCCAUAUACAAGAAAGCGACCACAAAAGAAUUUACAGAAACAAAAGGAUAUGUGAUCACCAUUUUUAAAGCAUUUCCAAGACCACUGGAGGUUGUCUUGUGUGGUCAGCAGUGCCAACCAUUAACUUGAAAAAUAAAUAUAUUUUUUUAAUUUAUGGUGUUUAAUACUACUACAUAAUAGUUAUAUAGGUAUUUGAUACUGCUGUCUUACCUACCUUAACUUACGGUGCCCAAACCUGGAGCCCCAUUGAGAAACAUAUUCAUAAACUGAAAAUCUGUCAGAGCUAUGGAACGGUCAAUGUUAAAAAUUAAAAUUAAGGACAGAAUCAGAAACGAAGUCAUAAGAGAGAAAACUGGAGUAAAAGAUACAAUAUACGCAAUAAAAAAGAACAAAUGGGCCUGGGCUGGCCAUAUAUGUCGAACAAUGGAUAACCGGUGGACUAAACGUGUCACAGAAUGGUCACCAAUAGGAAUAACGAGAAAACAAAAAAGACCAAAUAAAAGAUGGAGAGACGAGCUAGUGAACUUCGACAGGGCUCCAGCAAACUAUUGCUACUAUAGUGGAGAAUGAUCACAGCUACUGCCAACUGCGAAGAGGACCAUUGCAAUCAAGACCUUUGGUUGAUAUAACAAACUUGCCUGGGCUAUCAGUUGACUCUACCAUACAUCCAGUACCUCCUGGAUCUACUUCAACUACUUGCAUAACAGUGUCAAGAGAAAAGUAUACUCGAAGAUCACACACAAAAUUUGAUGCAGACCAAACCUUCGAGUAUUUACAAUCUAAAACUGAAGCAAGGUGCUCACGAAAACUACGGCAGAAAGAAAACGAAAUAAGAAGAUUGCGGCAAAAGGUUCUCAAAACUAAGUUACGUCUUUUACAAAUACGGAAGCUGCCGCUAGCAGAGGUUUUGAGAAGUUUGCUCAGCACAUGUCGGAGUCAGCCAAACUAUUUACAAGAAUGCCGGUUUUUGAAGGAGGAAAAAAAAAAGCAUAGACGUAGAUUCUCUAUGGAGGAAAAAAUAUUAUCUCUAUCAACUUUUAAGAAAAGCCCUAAAGCAUACAAACUAAUGUGUAAGCAUUUUACUUUACCGUCUAAAAAGGUUUUGAAAUCAUUGCUAGCACAAAUUAAACUUACAAUAGGAAUCAAUAGUGUUAUUUAGGUAUCCUUGCCUCCCGCUUGAACCACAUAUGAGAUAACACCCUUGUAACUCAGCCCUAAUUAAGGGAAUUUAUCAACUUGCAGCGCCAUCUAUCGCGCCACUCAAGUACUAAUGUCGCCCGGUUGCUAGCGCUCGGCUGCUUUCUCGUCAGUACAUAUGCUCUUU